This 301-nucleotide ribosomal RNA is filed under the name uncultured bacterium. Its description in RNAcentral is "partial 16S ribosomal RNA". It matches the Rfam family "Bacterial small subunit ribosomal RNA", at positions 509 to 807 of the family's 1533-position model. The record is from RNAcentral.
CAGUCGCCGCGGUAAUACGUAGGUGGCAAGCGUUGUCCGGAAUUAUUGGGCGUAAAGGGCUCGCAGGCGGUUUCUUAAGUCUGAUGUGAAAGCCCCCGGCUCAACCGGGGAGGGUCAUUGGAAACUGGGAAACUUGAGUGCAGAAGAGGAGAGUGGAAUUCCACGUGUAGCGGUGAAAUGCGUAGAGAUGUGGAGGAACACCAGUGGCGAAGGCGACUCUCUGGUCUGUAACUAACGCUGAGGAGCGAAAGCGUGGGGAGCGAACAGGAUUAGAUACCCCAGUAGUCCCUGUCUCUUAUAC